This is a non-coding RNA of Paramuricea clavata, 437 nucleotides long. The record is from the annotation of a GenBank genome assembly. Lineage: Eukaryota; Metazoa; Cnidaria; Anthozoa; Malacalcyonacea; Plexauridae.
CUGGGGUUUAAGGUACCGGUCACCAUUCACAGAUGAAUGCAGUAACAGCCAUGCAUUGACAAAGAUGGGCGUCGCUCUGCUGACGUCUACAUCAAAACAAGAUUCGCGGUUGCAGUGCACAUUAUAAACAAUUCUGUAUACCAGCCUCCCAAGCACAAUUGCCAGUUGAAAUUCCGAAGCGCCGAAGUAAGCCCUGAGGGGCGACGGUAUGCUAAUUCCGCUUCCGCACCAGGGGCGGACCCACACCGAUGCCAACGAUGCGAAUGCAUCGGUUAAAAUUGAGAAAUCAUGCAUGUUGCUUGAAAUAAUUUAUAGACAUAUUUUGCUGUCGUCAAUAGUCUAGCGCUCAGUAGUAGAAUAUCUUUCUAACCUAUCUAUCGAACAGCAAAUCAUUGCUUAAUAUGACUUCAUGCAUGUCAGCAAUACACUAGUUCAGA